AUGCUCACUUUGGCAGCACUCAUACUAAAAUUGGAACGAUAAAAAAGAUUAGCAUGGCCCCUGCGCAAGGAUGAUAUGCAAAUUCCUGAAGCGUUCCAUAUUUUU
Small nuclear RNA from Mesoplodon densirostris (Blainville's beaked whale), 105 nucleotides. The record is from RefSeq and is a predicted model, not a curated record. Lineage: Eukaryota; Metazoa; Chordata; Mammalia; Artiodactyla; Ziphiidae.